GGAACACGUGGGAGGACACGCCCCCUGGUGGCCGGCCGGAGAGUUGCAGUUAAUUUCCGUUUCUCUCAUUCAAACUUUUUUAAGAUGCAAAAUCACUUCUCAACUUAGAGGCUGGGAAGAGCGUGAGGAGAGGGUUGAAGUCACAGGAGAGGCCCCCUUUAAGGAGUCAGGGAACCAACGGUCCCGGUUUGCCCGGACUAAAAGAUGGUCUGGGACCGACCUGGACUUUCAGGGCUAAAAUCCUGCAAGUCCUGGACAAACUGAGACAAGCUGGUCCCCCAACGUUUAUCCCGUUCACUCUGUUGCUAUAUAGAGACCAGACCUCUACAGGGGUUUAAAUAAAAGUCUGGUGGUUUAAACAGGAACAAAGAUUGAGAGAAGUCUGAGGAAUGGCGCAAUUUCCUGAAAGAAAGCAGGUGGAGUUGGCAUCUCUUUCUCGUCACCAAACUGUGAAGUCAGAAAGGGCAGGAGCCGGGUACCUUCUCUCUGAAACGUCAGCAUCCACCACAAAGGAGCCAUGUGGGUUGCCAAGGCCCUACGAGUCUGGCUCUUGGAGACUGGAGUCUGUGAGCUGCUUCUUUCCACUGUGCAUAGCAGGGGACCUGCGGAAGAGCUCCUGGUCACAAAGAAACUCAACAAGAAGCCGGACGUUAACAUCUGUAGGUCAUAUAAGCCAUAGUCAUGAAAGGACAUUGUUUAGAAAGUACUGCAAUAUGCUUUGAGCCAGUUACCUUUCAGCAGCCAAAAGCACAGCAAUAGGAACUCCACUGUGUGUGUGGACUUUAUCAAUAUAUCCAUAUGUACACAUAUAUAAUUUCUUAAUAUAAACACAUUACACUGUG
Molecule: long non-coding RNA, 842 nt
Filed under: Equus asinus (donkey)
Lineage: Eukaryota; Metazoa; Chordata; Mammalia; Perissodactyla; Equidae
Description: lncRNA (ENSEASG00005027447.1)
Source: RNAcentral